UGGCGAACGGGUGAGUAACACGUGGGUGAUCUGCCCUGCACUCUGGGAUAAGCCUGGGAAACUGGGUCUAAUACCGGAUAGGACCAUGCUUUAGUGUGUGUGGUGGAAAGUGUUUUCGGUGUAGGAUGAGCCCGCGGCCUAUCAGCUUGUUGGUGGGGUAAUGGCCUACCAAGGCGGCGACGGGUAGCCGGACUGAGAAGUUGGUCGGCCACAUUGGGACUGAGAUACGGCCCAG
Molecule: ribosomal RNA, 235 nt
Filed under: uncultured Actinomycetales bacterium
Lineage: Bacteria; Bacillati; Actinomycetota; Actinomycetes; Actinomycetales
Description: partial 16S ribosomal RNA
Rfam family: Bacterial small subunit ribosomal RNA
Source: RNAcentral